This 637-nucleotide ribosomal RNA is filed under the name Atheta vilis. Its description in RNAcentral is "partial 16S ribosomal RNA". It matches the Rfam family "Bacterial large subunit ribosomal RNA", at positions 1828 to 2741 of the family's 2925-position model. The record is from RNAcentral. Lineage: Eukaryota; Metazoa; Arthropoda; Insecta; Coleoptera; Staphylinidae.
GUCUUUUUGAGUAUAAUUUAAAGUCUAACCUGCCCAAUGAAAUUAAUUAAAUGGCCGCAGUAUUUUGACUGUGCAAAGGUAGCAUAAUCAUUAGUUUCUUAAUUAGAAACUGGAAUGAAGGGUUGGACGAGAAAAUAGCUGUCUCUUUAUUAAUUAUUUAGAAUUUUAUUUUUAAGUUAAAAAGCUUAAAUUUUUUUAAAAGACGAGAAGACCCUAUAGAGUUUUAUAUAUAAUUAUAUAAUAGUUUAAAUUGAAAUUGUAAGAUUUUAUAGAAUUGUAUAUUUAGUUGGGGUGAUUAAAAAAUUUAGGUAACUUUUUUUUUAUUAUAACAUUAAUUUAUGAUUUUUUGAUCCAUAUAUUAUGAUUAAAAGAUUAAAUUACCUUAGGGAUAACAGCGUAAUUUUUUUUUAGAGUUCAAAUCAAUAAAAAAGUUUGCGACCUCGAUGUUGGAUUAAAAUUUAUUUUUGGUGUAGAAGCUAAAAUAUUAGGUCUGUUCGACCUUUAAAAUUUUACAUGAUCUGAGUUUAAACCGGUGUGAGCCAGGUUGGUUUCUAUCUUUAAAAAAUGUGGAUAUUAUAGUACGAAAGGACCUAGUAUCAAUAAAAUUUAUUUAAAAUUGAUUAAUAAUAAUAAUUGU